Non-coding RNA from Bacteroidetes bacterium GWD2_45_23, 75 nucleotides. Lineage: Bacteria; Pseudomonadati; Bacteroidota. The record is from Rfam.
GAAUCGUUAGCUCAGCUGGUUUAGAGCGCUGCCUUGACAGGGCAGAGGUCACUGGUUCGAACCCAGUACGAUUCA